Long non-coding RNA from Paramisgurnus dabryanus, 358 nucleotides. RefSeq lists it as uncharacterized. Lineage: Eukaryota; Metazoa; Chordata; Actinopteri; Cypriniformes; Cobitidae. The record is from RefSeq and is a predicted model, not a curated record.
AGUGAUGAUGCCGACACUUGGGUUGGGAAUUCUCUUACUGAUUCUCUGCACUGCUUUGAUGUUUUUCAUCUUUUACAAAAAAAACAAAAUAAGUGGCUGUAGAGCAAAAGAAGCAAUAGACGAUGCUACCACUGGAUUGCCGUAUGCUGUCACUCCUGAAAAUCCUGUUGUUUAUGCUGCAAUAAACAUUCAAAAAAACAGAGACAGAGUGAAAACAAAAAAUGAGAACUGUGAAGCUCUGGUAUUUACCGCAGUGUCUUGUCCUGAAGAUACAGUGACUUACUCUCAAGUCAACAUAAAGAGUAAACCUAACGAUGAAGGGUGAUUUUUUUGUACUUUGUCUGAAUGUUUUUAAAAC